UCCUACGGGAGGCAGCAGUGGGGAAUAUUGGACAAUGGGGGAAACCCUGAUCCAGCCAUGCCGCGUGAGGGAUGAAGGCCUUAGGGUUGUAAAGCUCUUUCAGCAGGGAAGAUAAUGACGGUACCUGCAGAAGAAGCCCCGGCUAACUCCGUGCCAGCAGCCGCGGUAAUACGGAGGGGGCUAGCGUUGUUCGGAAUUACUGGGCGUAAAGCGCGCGUAGGCGGCGAUACAAGUUGGGGGUGAAAGCCCGGGGCUCAACCUCGGAACUGCCCUCAAAACUGUAUUGCUAGAAUCCUGGAGAGGUGAGUGGAAUUCCUAGUGUAGAGGUGAAAUUCGUAGAUAUUAGGAAGAACACCAGUGGCGAAGGCGGCUCACUGGACAGGUAUUGACGCUGAGGUGCGAAAGCGUGGGGAGCGAACAGGAUUAGAUACCCUGGUAGUCCACGCCGUAAACGAUGGAUGCUAGGUGUUGGGCAGCAUGCUGUUCAGUGCCGCAGCUAACGCAUUAAGCAUCCCGCCUGGGGAGUACGGUCGCAAGAUUAAAACUCAAAUGAAUUGACGG
This 561-nucleotide ribosomal RNA is filed under the name uncultured bacterium. RNAcentral's name for it is "bacterial SSU rRNA". It matches the Rfam family "Bacterial small subunit ribosomal RNA", at positions 337 to 916 of the family's 1533-position model. The record is from RNAcentral.